Non-coding RNA from Mycena rebaudengoi, 94 nucleotides. NCBI's taxonomy places the organism in Eukaryota, Fungi, Basidiomycota, Agaricomycetes, Agaricales, Mycenaceae. The record is from the annotation of a GenBank genome assembly.
GCCUUGAUAGAUUAAUAGGCAGAUCAUCCCAACCCAGUGAACCUGGUUUCGACGAUUAUAAGGGAAGGUGGAGGUUCGAAUCCUCCCCGAGGCA